CGUUCAACCGCAAAAGAAGCAGAGGGGGCUUAGUGGUGGGGUGACUGCGUACCUUUUGUAUAAUGGGUCAGCGACUUAUAUUCUGUAGCAAGGUUAACCGAAUAGGGGAGCCGGAGGGAAACCGAGUCUUAACCGGGCGUUAAGUUGCAGGGUAUAGACCCGAAACCCGGUGAUCUAGCCAUGGGCAGGUUGAAGGUUGGGUAACACUAACUGGAGGACCGAACCGACUAAUGUUGAAAAAUUAGCGGAUGACCUGUGGCUGGGGGUGAAAGGCCAAUCAAACCGGGAGAUAGCUGGUUCUCCCCGAAAGCUAUUUAGGUAGCGCCUCGUGAAUUCAUCUCCGGGGGUAGAGCACUGUUUCGGCUAGGGGGCCAUCCCGGCUUACCAACCCGAUGCAAACUGCGAAUACCGGAGAAUGUUAUCACGGGAGACACACGGCGGGUGCUAACGUCCGUCGUGAAGAGGGAAACAACCCAGACCGCCAGCUAAGGUCCCAAAGUCAUGGUUAAGUGGGAAACGAUGUGGGAAGGCCCAGACAGCCAGGAUGUUGGCUUAGAAGCAGCCAUCAUUUAAAGAAAGCGUAAUAGCUCACUGGUCGAGUCGGCCUGCGCGGAAGAUGUAACGGGGCUAAACCAU
RNAcentral lists this ribosomal RNA (636 nucleotides) under Salmonella enterica subsp. enterica serovar Dublin. RNAcentral's name for it is "partial 23S ribosomal RNA". It matches the Rfam family "Bacterial large subunit ribosomal RNA", at positions 568 to 1190 of the family's 2925-position model. Lineage: Bacteria; Pseudomonadati; Pseudomonadota; Gammaproteobacteria; Enterobacterales; Enterobacteriaceae. The record is from RNAcentral.